UGCUUACAAUGAUGUGCUGGUUAAAAAAUGAGCUGAUCCGAUUUUACUGGCCUUAUUUGACUUUAUUUCUCUGUUUUGGUCUCCUCAUUUAUCCUUUUCCUUACAGAUCAAAUAGAUAUUAAAUGAAGAGCUCAAAAUUAUUUUAAAAAACAAUGUUGAAUCCAAAUUGCAGAUAUCUAUUCAGUAAAUCAUGCUAAGUAGAUAAGAUUCUUAUUUCUUCUUAUUUACCUAAAAAAAACCCCAAAAGCUGGUUGUGUUUUGGCUUCAGAAAGCGAGAUCUUGUAGUUGAGACAGGAUAGAAAUAGCCUUUAAAAGCUAAAUGAAAUGAAUAGUCUUGCAAAGGGAAAAAAAGAGGAAUUUUUCAUGAGUCCCUGGAAACCAGCAAAAAAGCAUCAAAACUGUUGUUUUCAGUAAUAAUUGUGAUUACUUGGUUAAAAUACCCCGUACGAGAAGCUUUCGAUGUUUUUUGUGCCUCUACAAGGAAAAUUAAAACAGAACACACAGCAUUGGGGCCAAUUUGUUUCCAAGGAAGUCAAUUAUUAAUACUGUAUUUAGUAUUUAAUGAACUAAGCCGAUGUAUGUGAAACGCUGCAGAGAUCUCCUUACCAGCGGAGAACAGGUGUUGAUAGAAGCUUUGCCCGUAUGUUUACCAGCUGAUUAGUACCCAUUAAAAUGAUAAUAAUCUAAUAAAAAUUACUUUAUGUCUAGUGAAAGUUGAAAGUCCCCUGUGUAUUGGAGAAUGAUUUUUUUUCUAUUGCAUGGCAGUGAUAGGAUUGAAGUGACAAGAAUCCACCCCCAAAGCAGCGUGAAUGUUCUGAAUUUCUAUGCCUUAGACUUUUCACUUCAAGUGUCCCUUUCUCCAAAGGUUGACUCUGGCAGUCAGGACACUUCACUGUUUUUCAUGGCUUCAAGGGAAGGACAGUUACCAACCCACCAAAAUCCUCUGGCAAUAGGAAAAGGAAUCAGAUCCUUAGUAAACGACACUACCUUGUCCAUCUUAGGAGACCAGAGGAGAAACUAUGGGUGUCCUGAAGGACUGUUCUGGGCUUUGGUUGUCCCAGACAGCCCCGAGCAGUUGCUAAGGAAACUCUGAGCCAUCUGUGAGCUGGCAGUUUCCUGGGAAACCCUUGAUUUCAGGCUAGCCGUAGUCAAAAUUGUUAUGAAUGUGAGGUCACAUCAUCCCCAGCCUCACACUUCUGACCCCUUCUCUUCAUGACGUGCUCCACUCAUUCUGUCUCAGCUGAGCCUUGCACACUUUACUCUUGCUCUUCUACCAAAAGCUGAACUCAGGAAAUUUUCAGGAAUUUGGUUAUACGGUAGGGUAGAGACUGAAAACUAAGGGUUAUUUGCGUUGUAACAGCAUCAAAUUCCUCCAACUGAUUAAGGGUCUCCUGGAGGAAAUUGGGGCAUUUGGCCAAGUACAGGUGACACAUUCGCCUGCCUCAUUUACCUGUAGCUUCCAGGACCCGGAUUACUACACAAUGGAGUGUAUGUCGUUAUUCCUUUUGACUUCUUCCUAAAAGUAUUGAUGGAAACAUAGUAGAAAGAAUGAAUUUUGGAGGUAGAAAUGUAUUUUUUUACUGAUUUAUUUUAAUAGUGAUGGGGACCCUAUUGAAAUUUGCAGUAUAGAAAGAAGUCAUAGGAGAAAAACCAGAUGAUUUCUGGAAAUAAGGAUUUUGUAGAAACUGUGAAUAAGAAAUAAGCAUCUUAAUACUAAUGCCAAAGUCUGUCCUUUGUUUAUGUGUUCUAUAAUGUUGAGACUGUUCAGCAUUCUAAAUUGCUUUAUACUUCAGAUUAACGUGAGGCCAGAAUGAUUUAAGGACUAUUUUGGUCUUAAAAAUAGAAAUCUCCACAUUUAAAACAGAAACACAACCUUUAAUUGAUUGGCAAAAAUAGGGUUCUUUUCAAAGGAAGACUUGGGCAGGCCCCAGAUGAAGGCAACGAAGAGCAGCCUGGUUCUGGAAAGGGAAGUCAGCAGAAUUGUUCUGUUGAUCUAUCCUCUGCUUUUCUGGGCUGCUACAGGAAACAGACUUCAAGGAAAAGGUCAUAGGUCACCUGGGGCUCUGGGGCUUAAGGCAACCAUGCAAAAAUCUAGACGGCUCAGAAUCUUUCUUUCUCACAAAGGACACAUUAUGAAUUGGUUCCUGUAUGUGUGUACAUUUGUUUCGUACCCAGUCACCAUGCUGGCAGAAAAGUAUUGCUGUUAUUUCUAUGAAGGAAACUUUGAAACUUCAUAGUUUUUCUUUGCCAUGACUGGUGACUUUUAAAAUUCAGUGAAAACCUCUUGAUCUAGGCAUUGGACUUGAAAAUUAGAGACUUAAUUGGGAACCAAAAAGAUAUAAGUCCCAAGACUGUAAGUUGGCCACUUUUGGAAAAAUACACUUUAGAAAGUGUGAUGAAUGAUUUUUUUGUGCUCAUAUUCCUUCAUCUUUAGCCCAGAAGAUACUGAGCUGGUACCGAAUUAACAGUUCUUAGAAUGAACUUCCGCUUGAUCUCAGGAUAGCAGCCUAAGCAGAAGGAGGAGGAAAUCUGGGGCAAAUGAUUACAAUAGCAGGAACUGUAAGAUAAAAUUUGAUGCUAUCUUUUCAGCACUCAACCAAUUCAGAGGUGAUGGAAUAGGGACCCAGGGUUUUCCAGAAACCAAGAGUAAUUCUAAAAGGCAAGACCUUAAGGGACAUCCUCUUCUUUGGCCGUCAAAGCAACCGGAGCUGUCACUGGGAUUAGCAGACAGAGGAUCAUGAUGGGGUUCUCUUUAGCUAUGAAACGAGGAAGAAGAAAAUCUUCUCUUAACAAUAAUAUACACGUGCCAUGAGAGAGAUGAAGCAGAAGAUUAAGCAAGAAACCCAGCUAUUUUAUUGCCCUAAGGCAUUACUCAUUUUCCUGACACAUUAUGUUUUUAAUUAAAAUUGCAUGUGAGUUAAUUAAAAUAUUCACUCAGGCCCUUUUUUCCCUCUUCCUGCUUGGGUUCCUUGCUACUCUUUUAGCUUUUUGGUAAAACUCAGUUUCAUUUUAACUCAGGUGCCUUUAUCAGCUGCAACUUUAAUAAAGAGUCUGUAUACUGAGGUAACUAAAAAAAUAAAAUCUAAUUUUAAAAAUUCACCCCUAAGUGACCAAGGUAAAGGGAUGUGGCCAGGAGUGAAAUCAUUAAGUCUUUUAUGUUCUUCCCUGCUUAUUUAAUCAAAAACAUGAAAUUAUCAUUGAUAGAAAGUGUAUUCAGAAGAAGUACUGUGAUUUUUUCCUAUGCCAGGCGUGUUUUUCUUGUUAUAGACACGUUUAUCCAUCUACAGUCCUUUGUUCAGGAAAGGAUCAUAGCUUAUGGCACCUACGGUUGUGUAACCUCAGCUUUCCCUGAUUACAGCUGAUUAUUAGCCUUUAGUGGACAUCUAUCCAGUUCAACCUAUCAAUGGAUCAGUAACCCUGAGAAACAAAAUCCCUCUUGUGUAGACACUCAGAGACCUUGGUUACUGAUGAGUCCAUAUUGGAUCUGUGAGGACAAAUAGGCCAGUACUGGAGGCCAUAUUGGGUCGCUUGUAAACAAAGGAAGAAUAGACAGGAAGAAGCAGAGAUAGUUGCAGCCACGUGGCUAUGAGACAGACAAGAGAGAACCUUCAGUUUCAGUGUCUUCCCCAUCUACUUCCCUUGAGGCCUGGCUGAGUCCUUACUGUAUCCCUGAGAUGGCUUUUUUUUUUUUUUGCAAAAACCCCUUUUUAAGAGUUAGCUAAAAUGAAUUCUGGAUCCUUGUAAACAAUGAGCUCUAACUAAAACAUCUGUGCUUCAAAACUCCAUAUAUUCCUAAGCAGCCCUGACAGAGAUAAUAUUAAAAAGCAAAACCAUAAAAUGGGUAGUAAGAAACCAGUUAUUGCAGUUCAAGAAUAUAUAGGCUGAAGCCGCCUGGUCGAAGUGAAGUCCAGGAGAGAGAAGAGUGUUUUUUCCAACUGUAGUAGAACCCCCUUCGUGAAAAGUUUGGGAAAAAUCUGUUUCUGUUCUUUUUUCAUUUUUUUUCCAUCUCCAAUGAUGUUUUAGUACCUUAAAAUGUUAAUGAGUCUGAGAAACUGGUACCCUGGGCAGCUACUUGCGACCCACUUGUUAAUUUAUCUCUGCUACCUAGAUAAGGAUCUCAAUGUCUUUCUCCCUAGAUUGGAUUUCUAAAGUACCAGAAUUAGCCCAGAUGGGUGUGGUGCUCGCCUAAGUCUGACGUUGCAAUCCAUUAAUCUUCUGAACUCUUAAACCUCCUUCACAGCUUAAAUUUCAUGGUCUAUCAUUAUAAUUCCAUCUCAACUCUUUAUGGCAAAACCAUGUUUGAGGGUUAAAUCCGUAUCUCCACCAACUUCUUGCCUACAUUUGGACAGUAUGUAAAUGGAGGAAAAUUUACUGCUAUUCUAACUGACCUCCAGAAAGCAAAAUUAUCAGCUGAGAGUGAGUAUGGUAAAGAUAGAAAUACAUAUUGGAGAUUUGGGGCAUGACACUCACCUAUCAUAUUUACUUUCGUACCUACAUUGUACCUUUCAUAUGCCUGCAUAAGUUGUUUAUAUGGAUGAACUGGCAAUGCUCCUACCUAUGGUCAACCUCUCCACAUGUGCAGUAAGUAGAUCUCAUUCUCUCUACAUGAGGAUAUUGCUUCAAAUCUCCCUUCUCUCUUACAUUAUCAAUUUGCCCUUUCUUCUGGGGCUACCUCAUCAGCAUAACAUCUUACUGUUAUUUCUCCCAUCUUCAAAUUCUUUCUUGAUUGUUCUUUUCCCUUCAGCUGUCAUCCCUUCAUUCUCUUUCCCUUAAUUGAUGAACUCCUUGAUGAAAUUUACUGAACUAGUGCUUCCUGUUCCUCUGCCCUCAUUCCCUCUUGAAUCAACUCCAUUCGGACUUUGGCCCCUACCCAUUCCAUCAAAACUCUUGUUAUCAAGCCUCGAUUGGCCGUUGCAUUUCUAAACACAAUGCUCAGUUUGUAGUCCUUAGCAGAGUUGAGCACCUCUUCCUCUUUCAUCAUCUGGCUUCCAGGACGUCAUACUCUCUUGGUUUUACCAUUUCACUAGAUCCUCCUUCUCAGUCUCCUUUGCUGAAUAUUAUUCUCCUCUUAAUGUUAUUGUUCUUCAGGACUUAGUUCUUCUUAUCUCUAUCUACAGUAGACUCACCCCUGGUGAUAUCACUGAAUCUCAUGGUUUUAAGUAUAAUUUCUAUACAAAUGACUUUCAGAUUUAUAUCUCUUGUUCAGACAUUUCUCCUGAAAUUCAGACCUCUACUUUCACUUGCCUACUUGACAUCUUCAUUUGAAUAUCUGUUAAGAAUCUAAUACUUCAGUCUAAAACUCAACUCCUGAUAUUCUACCAACUAAUUGCUUUUAUCCAUAGCCUUCUCUGUCUCACUGGAGGGCAGCUCUAUUCUUCCAGUUUCUCAGUCCAAAACAUUUGAGUUCUCUAAGAUUCCUCUUUAUCUUUCUUUCCUGCUUAUAAUAAUUAUUUUAUAAGAUGCUAUGUCCUUUACCUUGAAAAUAUUUGUCCAGAAUCUGACCACUUCUUGCUAUCUCCACUGCCACCACCACCAUGUCUAUCGAUCAUGAUUAUUGCACUAGCCUUAUAACUGGUUUCCCUGAUUCUCUGUUUGUGCCUCUACUGUCCAUUUACAACAGAGCAGCAAGAGUGCUUCUUUUAAAAUGUAAGUGAAAUUGUAUCAUUCAUCUGCUAAAAAUCCUGCGAUGGCUCCCUAUUUUACUCAGAGGAGAAGCCAAAGUCCUCACAAUGGGUAACAGGGCCUUGCAUAUCUCACUCACUUCUAGACACAAUGACCACUUUUCUGAUCCUUCAAAACUCCAAGAACACUCUUCAGUUCCUUCAGCUUUCCUCUUAGAUAUGCACAUGCUAAUCUCCUAACCUCAUUUAAGUCAUUGUUCAGAAGUCACAUUUUUAGUGAGUCUACCCUGACCGCCUAUUUAAAAUUGCAGUCUCCCAUAUCCUGAUGCCUCCUAAUCUGCUCUUUUGUUUUCUAUAGAGCUUAUCAUCUUCUAACAUACUAUAUGAUUUACCUUUUUAAUAUUUGUUUAUUCUGUUAUUAUUCUACUGAUCAUCUCUUACAUAUGAAAAUGUAAUCUCCCUCUAAAAUUAGGGGUUUGUAUGUUUUUUUGCAUUAAUAUUUUUGAUCAUCUAGAACAGUAUGCCUGGCAUAUAGUAGGUACACUUUCAACAAAGCUUGAAAACCAGCCUUAAAAGUAUCAACCUAAUUUGUAAGUAAACUCAUGCCCUGGCAGACAAAUCUUCAUACUCUUUAAAGGAACACAACAGAAUCCAGACACAAAAUCCAGACAACAAAAUGCAAACACUGGAUAUCAUAGCAUUUAUAAUACCUAACAUCUAAUUUUUUAAAACUACUGUACUUACAAAGAAGUAGGAAAAUAUGACCCACAACCAUGAAAAAAGUCAGCUAGUUCAAGGCAAAUGUGUAAAAGAGAAAAAUGGCUUUGGUGCUUUCUUCCUGUACAUUCAGUGAAAUCUCACAUCUCAAAGCUUUCUAAGCUUGCAACAUAGCCCCCAGCUCACAGUGCUCAGAGCUUCACACAGCAGUGCUCUCUCUUCUUUCUCUUCCUCUAUAUGCAACUUAACUCAUUUGAUCUGUCUUUAUAGUAUUCUUUUUUACUUAGUUUCUCUCUCCUGUAUAUAUCAAGUUUCAACUGGCUAAUCUUUUAAUCUAAUAUAUUAUAACGAGGAAAGGCUAAAGCUACAAAAACUUCCCCAUGUCUAUACUACGUGGGGCCUCUCUUUACCACACCAUGGUAUUGUCAUCUUACUCUAAAUUGUAGAAACUUCACUUGAAUAGAGGAAGAGUAAUUGAUUAGAAAAGUUCACUUUGAAGGGAAUCUCAUGGAACCACCGAUGGAUAGGGUGGAUGCCUACUUUGAAUUUCAUUUCUGGGGGCCAAACCAAUCAUUAUUGUUGUUACUGGGGCACGAGAUCAGGGAUGGACAGGCUGUGAUGGUGAUGGGAAGCAAAAUCACCAAGUAUUGGCCAGAUUUUCUUAAUUUUCUCCUGCCUUAGAUUGGGAUUGCGGUGCUUGAGACUGAUGUGGGGUGCACCCAGCAAGAAGAUACCAAGUAACCCCAGAUGGAGGAUGAAGUGAGUAAUAGAUUCAAGGAGUUAGAGCCUGACAGGAAAACAUCAGUAUUUCUGAACAAAAAGAGUGGAAAAGUCUUCGAUAUUUGGAAGUGAGUUGUGGAUGAAGAAUACAAUUGCAUCACAACUGCAUUGUGUGGCUAAACUAGUGAUGUAGAGGUGGAUGCUGAUUCAGAUCUACUGCCAAUGAACGAACAGCCCUCUGUGUCCAGGAGCUGUCAACACCAUGUACCUCUGUGUGUGAUUUGUGGAUGAUUUGUGUGCCUCUCGCCAACAGAGUUCAUAAACUAAAGAUUAAUGAAAGGAAGAGGCAACCCGUUGGGGGCAAAGCGCUGGUAAAGCAGCAAGGUCUUUUGCUUGUUGGAGCUGGAAUAACCAGGAGGAUUCAUCAUUGUUUCAGCUGACUUUGGUGUCUGGCCAAGCCAGAGGCACUGACGGCAAGCACAUUUGGCUUCGUCUCCUCCUCUGCUACCCCUGGUGCCCAGCAAUCCUGCCACCACUGCAUAAGUUGUCGCCAGACUGAAAACCAGUAGUAGAACUCCUCCUUCUUCCUCCUUCUUUGCUAUUUUUAGAGAAAUCUGAAUAACAAGCUAUUCCCCUCAUUUAUUAUUCUUGAUGAAUGGUAAAUUAUUCUAAUAGCAUUGACUUCUAUUCAUUUAUUAUUUGAGGAUGAUUAGAAGUGAAUAGCUGUUACAAAGCCUCACCAGUUCCAAAAAUUAGACCUUGGAAUUUUGUGUUUCCUUUUGACUCUGAGUAAUUAUCUUUGUUGCUUCCUCUAGUUCUGUCACACACACCUCUUUCUUUUUUUCUAGUCAUGGUCUGUUUUGAGUCCAGAAUCAGGAUGGCCAGUUCUUAAAAGUUUAUCCACAGAGGUGAUGAAUGAGCUUCUGAAAUAUGAUUUCCCUUAGACACACAGGGUUUUAAAAUUAUAUUUAAAUUCAACAAGGUCCCAUAACUCACUCACAACUGUGUUAUUUAAAGGUACAGAAUACUAUGUAAGACACAGCUUACAGAUGGCAACAGAGGUAUAUGAUAGGAUAAAUCACAGUGCUUUUUACAGAAUAGACUGUGUGGUUUUAAUCUGGGAGUAAAAUAACAUGUAGGAUGAAAAAAUUAUUAUUCUUAUUUUUGGAUAAUGAGACUUUUUAUGAACCCCUCUAAUCUGGGCAUUGGAAGCUGCAACCUACCUCCUCAGCCUUAUCUCCCUCACAGCUCUCCAAACAUUCUUUACCCAAGUCAAAGUGGACUCAUUGCUUUUCCUCAAAGAUGACAGCUUUCCCACAAUCUAAAUUAUCUGCUUUUCUUACCUCAAAUAUUUUUUUUAGUUUCUCCACACCACCUCCCAUUCUCCACCUGUGAAAAUUUAAUUCUUCCAUGAAGGCUCACUUUAAAGCCCUUCUUUAAUCCCCUCAUCUCAAAAUAUUUUCUCCCUUCUGUAAUACUGUCGUCUUCUUCUGAAGGACUCCAUUCACAAUUGCCUACUGUCAUGUAUCAGGACAGAUUCAGGUUUUAUGAGGCUUCAUGCUUACAUAAUUUGGGGGAUCUUUUCCAGGAAAAUAAAUAUGAAAUUACAGAUACAACUAUAGAUACAAAAGGGAAUGUUUUUGGGUGAUACCAGUGUAAAGGGUUGAGUAAGAAACUCCAAAAGUCUACCCCUUGAUAAGAGCAACAACAACGGCAACAAAAAAAAAAUUGGAAAAAUUGGCAGAAUUAAUAUUUUUUGAACUUUGAAAGCUAACUAAAAGCUUCUGGCAAUCCAGGGAGUGCUUUUUCAAGAAAAGCACUGAGUCUUGGUAAGAACACUGAGGUUUGUGGCAUUUUAAUUUACAGGUAUACCUCAGAGAUAUUGUGGGUUUUGUUCUAGACCACUGCAAUAAAGCAAAUAUCACAAUAAAGUGAGUCAUGCAAAUUUUUUGGUUUCCCAGUGUGUAUAAAAGUUAUCUUUAUGGUAUAAUUUAGUCUAUUAAAUGUGCAAUAGCAUUAUGUCUAAAAAGACAAUGUACAUACCUUAAUUAAAAUAUCCGUUAUUGCUAAAAAAUUAUAACCAUCAUCUGAGCCUUCAGUGAGUCAUAUUCUUUUUGCUGGUGAAGGGUCUUGUAAAAAACUCAAUGUCUGUGAAGUACAAUAAAGUGAAGCUCAAUAAAACAAGGUAUGUCUGUACUCUAGUCUUAUCCCCAGCUCCUUAGCUCAGUGUUAGACUUGAAAAUAACAGCCCACAUUCCCAUUCCCAGUACUGGUACUGGAGGGAGAAGAAUGGACUUUAUUUUGCAAAGAAUUGUUAUUAUUUGUUUUGACCAAUCUGAUUCAAAAGGCUGUCUUUGUCUCACCUAAUUCAGAAUGUACCCAGUGCUAAAGCUGCAAUGGGUGGUGGGUAGGGGUAUGAGGUUGAUGUUGGUGCAUUUGUUGAAAUCAUUAACAGCAAAUGAUUUAGUUGUUCUUGUCAGAGACAAUACAUAACUGUCGGAGCAAACAAUAGACUAACCAAAAAGCUUGGAAGGAAAGGCGAGGGCAUUGAUGAGAUGUUUUUUAAAGUAACAGCUUUGAAAAGCUCUGAAAUAUUCCUGAGAAUCAAGAAGCCCAGACACAUGCACAGGGCUAUGUGCUUGCUCAGAAAAGACCCGAGAAGAUUUUAAGCUCUCACAUCUGGCUGACCAUGGGGCUAUGUGCAAAAAGAAAGUGAAGCCUAAGGCAAAGUUGUAAACUGCUUGGAGAAGUGUUGAAUGCAUGCCCAAAUAAACACAGAGACCCUGUGCAAAGAUGAGGAGAUAUUUUGGGUUCAAAGCACUUAAGGAAAUCUCUGUUCAAUCAUUAGCUGACCACUGAGCAAAUGGAAAAGAGAUUUUAGUGGUCACACAUGGCAAAUACAGACUUUACAGAGUCUGAUCAGAAACAAACAACAACUGCAACAAAAAACAACAACAAACCUUGGGAAGGGGUUAGAAUUUGACUUUCAAAGUUCUCACAUUUUACUAUUCAAAAUAUCCAGUUUUUGUCAAAAAAAUUAUGAAUUAUGCAAAGAAACAAGUAAGUAUGACCUAGGGACAGGAUAAAAAACAAUCAAUAGAAACUUUUCCUGAGGAAGUCCAGAUGUUGAAUUUAAAUCACCUAUUUUAAGUAUCUUCAAAGAGCUAAAGGAAACUAUGUCUAAACAAAUACAGGAAAGCAUGAGAAUAAUGUCUCACCAAAUAGAGAAAUCAACAAAGAAACAGAAAUUAUAAAAGAGAAACCAAUUAGAAAUUCUGGAGUUGACAAGUAAAAUAACUGAAAUGAGAAAUUCACCAGGGCUCAAUAGCAGAUUUGGACAAAAGAAACAAUCAGCAAUCUCAAAGAUGGGUCAGUUGAGAUUUUCUGUGAAAUCUUGAAAACAGCAUGAGAGAAGUGACUCAUCACAUACAAAAAAGAACUUCAAAAAGAUUAACAGCUGAUUUCUCAUCAGAAACCAUGGAAACCAAAAGCCAAUGGAUGACAUGGUCCAAGUGUUGAAAGAAAAGACUGUCAUCCAAGAAUUCUAUAUCGGGCAAAACUAUCCUUCAAAAAUGAAAGAAAAAGUAAAACUUUCCCAGAUAAUCAAAACUUGUCUGCACAAAAAUGCCAAAGGAGAUCCCUCAGACUAACAGUGACAGGAUACUAGACAGAAACUGGAAUCCACAUGGAGAAAUAAAGAACAUUGGUAAAGGUAAUCAUAUAGGUAAAUAUAAAAAACAGUGUUAAUGGGAUUUUUGUUUGUGUGUAACUCCUCUUUUUUCCUAUCUGACUUAAAAGACAAAUGCAUAAAGCAACAAUUAUAAAUCUAUGCUGAUGGAUACUCAAUAUAUACAGAUGUAAUACAUUGUGAUAUUAACAGCAUGAGGAAGGAAGAGAAUGGAGCUAUAUAAAGC
Long non-coding RNA from Equus caballus (horse), 10972 nucleotides. The record is from Ensembl. Lineage: Eukaryota; Metazoa; Chordata; Mammalia; Perissodactyla; Equidae.